This 1859-nucleotide long non-coding RNA is filed under the name Salmo salar (Atlantic salmon). Its description in RNAcentral is "lncRNA (ENSSSAG00000108466.1)". Lineage: Eukaryota; Metazoa; Chordata; Actinopteri; Salmoniformes; Salmonidae. The record is from RNAcentral.
CAAGGAUGUGCUACUUUUUGUAGCAUUUUGGAAAAUGCCAACAUCUUUUCAGCCGAAUCUCAGAGUUCUAAAACUGGGGCCAACAACUCAGUUGCUGCACAAAAGCGACAGCUAGCUAGUAGCAGGCUAGCAACUGUAGCUAGCUAACUAACACCAGUUGGAUGAAAAGCAAGCUGCAAAGGAAGCUAGCUACCUUGAUAUAUUGGGCUAUUGAAGAGUUUUCACAUGGCUGAAGUCAUCUGUGUAACAAAAUUAGAGCGCAAACAAAUAAGACAGUGAAUGUCCUUGGCUGCUAUUAAACACAUAUAGAUAGCCAACAACUAUCCACAGGAACCGGGAUUCAUUGGACCAGGCAAUAUUUUCCACACCUCAAUUAUCCAGUGUUGCUGAUCACAUGCCAUGUUUUUCAUGCAAUGUUUUCCACACCUCAAUUAUCCAGUGAUGGUGAUUGCAUGCCAGUGUUGUCAUCUGCUGCAAUAGCCCAUCCAUGACAAGGAUUGACAACUUGACUGCUGCUGACUGGAUGUUUUUGAUUGUAACACCAUUCUCGGUAAACCCUAGACACUGUCGUGUGUGAAAAGCCCAGGAGGGCAGCCAUUUCUGAGAUACUGGAUCCGGCGAACUUUGCACCGACGAUCAUACCACGCUCAAAGGUGAACGAGGAGCAGGAGGAGGAGGAGGAGGAGGAGGAGGAGGAGGAGGAGGAGGAGGAGGAGGAGGAGGAGGUGGUGGUGGUGGUUUACCGGAAUAAAGAAACUGAGAUUUGAAUAUGGAGUGAACCCUAAAGACCCAGAGUGGAGGACUUUCCACUGGUGACAACAUUUUUACUUUCGGAAAAAAAAGGUGCAGAGGCAUAUCAUUCACGUUUGCAUGAUAGAUGAUCAGAAUAAGCUGAUCAAAGCUUGACUGUUGGAAUUGUCAUUGAGGACCAUAUGAAUAAUUUAGCACAUUAAUAUGAAUUAAAUAAUGAUCAAAAUGAUGCAUUACUUCAUUUGGUGUACCUACAGAGGAAUGGUGUUUCUCAAAAGACCCAGCUUUUUGAAGUACAUGGUCCUAUCUUUAGACUCAAGACAUAUGGCCCAUUUAAAUGGUAAUUGUCAUUAGAAUGUGUAGAUACUCCAGAGCACCCAGCAUCCAGAGCGCAGCGGAUAAGAAACCUUGACAUAUGACAGUCUUUACAAGGCUUUCUUCAAAGGUGAAAAGUGCUGAGAUUUAACAAUGUUAAGUGGAAGAAGUAUGUUGUGUCAGGAAUCAAAUGUAAUUUCCUUCGAAUGAGGAAGUGGCAUGAACACAGAGGGUGCAUUUGGAUUGUUUCUGAGAUGUUGCUAGAUCAGUUGAGUUGUGAUGAGUGUGGGCGGACUGUACCUCUGACUACAUCAACUGUAAAUUGAAACCUGUAAAAAUGUACCUCUGAUGUAGCGCCCAUAUUUGAUGUACAGUAUAUACCUAUCAUGUUCAGCUAAGAUGAAACUAAACUGAAAUAUAAAGCAUGAAUAAAGUCACAUCGUAAGUAUUUAUUAAUCCAUAUUUAUUGAACAAAAGUCAAAAUUUAGUGGCAUCUACCCGUCAAAUUCUUUCAGAUAACCAAAGGCAUUUGAAACUUUUCUUUGCCUCAAAUUACUAUUAGAAUACAGCCAUAUCCUCUAAAAAAAACAUUAAACUAUACAGAUAAUGUAAGCCACGUGCUCCAUGGGAUUACUCUACCUGAUUAUACAACACAAAAUACAAGUCUUAAUUCGCUUACCUUAUAUCUUGCUCUCUGAUUAGUACAAAUAUCAAAUAUACUGAACAAAAAUGAAUUAAAAAAAACAUGGAAAGUGUUGUUCCCAUGUUUCAUGAGUUUAAAUAAAAUAUCCCAG